UGAUAUUAAAUUGCAAAAAUGAUCAACAGAGAAAAAGAAAUGAUUUUUUCACACAAACCGGAGAGAAGCUGUCUCUCAAAAAGGGAUUCUCAAUAAUAAAAAUUAGACCCAAAAACCUUAAUGAUUAUUAUGAGACAAAGGGUACUUAAGAAAUUUCAUUGGCUACAAAUAUAUUCAUGUGUCUUUUUCUAUUAUUAUUAUUAUUAAAAUCUUCUUUUUUAUAUAAAAUUAAAUCUACAAAAAUAUUCAUUUAUAUAAAAUUAAAGGAAAAAGAAAGAAAUCAAAUUCAGAAAACACAAAACUAAACAUAAAUGGAUCAAAAUUGAGAAAAAUAAUCCUGAAUUGAACACUAAAACUCCAUCAUUUAAUCUCUUUAAAUUUUCAAAAAACAGAGUAGGCGCAAAUGAUCAAAACUAUGAGCUUAAUAUUUUCUAUUUAUUUUUAUGUAUAAAAACAAUGAAAAUUUAAAUCUCCAUAAGUCAGUUAAUUGUAUUAAGCUCGUUUGAUACAAGCUGUUUGUUUUCUCAGGUCCUGUAAAAGCAUUCAAUAUUAAUUUAAAGAAUAAAUAGUCUAAAAUAGCAGCAAUUAAAAUUAUAUACUUAUGUUCGCAGAGAGAGAGAGAGAGAGCUUACGAUCAACUACUGCGAGAGCUUUGGAGUCAUCAACAGGCUUCUCUUGAUCAUGUAAUUGAGUAACAGCUUUCUCCUCCGCGACGUCGUUGUUGGGGACAGCCGGAGCCGGAGCUGGAGCAAGAGCUGGAGCUGGAGCUGGGGCCGCUGGCGUCUCAGCUUCUACUUUCUUCACUUGCUCCUCUGCCAUUAUCGUCUACAGAGACUUCGCGUAUAC
RNAcentral lists this long non-coding RNA (846 nucleotides) under Citrus sinensis (sweet orange). Its description in RNAcentral is "long non-coding RNA (CSIN_LNC004101)". Lineage: Eukaryota; Viridiplantae; Streptophyta; Magnoliopsida; Sapindales; Rutaceae. The record is from RNAcentral.